GAACAUCUUUGCUAUGUUUGUACAAUGCGUAGCACAAUGGAAAUAAUAAUGUUAGAAUUGUAUUGGUCUUAGCCAACCCCUUUAGACUUUACUCUGCCAGCCAGGGCUGAUCCCAGAGCACCAGGGGGGCUUGCUCUUUGAAGGCUAUGCUACUUCGAAGAUCGAGACUAACACGGCUACCCCUCUGAUACUUGACAGCAUGGAUGGUGUAGGAAGAGCUACAUCAGGGAAGAACAGUCACAGCAUGCUGGGCCAUGAGUGACACGGACAUCUCCACGUGUGGUUCUUCUCUGAGGCGGUGUCCUUGCAGCUUUUCCAGGAUUCGAUCUGUUUAAUUCACUGUACAUCAUGCUGGAGAGGUACAGGAGCUCAGCAGGAACACUUAUCUAAAAACAGGUUGAAGGGGGUUCAGUAAAGAAACUCAGUUGGGAGCAGUGAGCUGAUAGCACUGUGUAAGCGCCACAGGCUCUGAAGUCUCUAGGAGUAGCAGAUGCUCCCUCCCCGCUCUCCCGCUCGGUCCUUAGAGCACACCAAAGUGGACUGAACAUUCCCAUAAAAACCACAUUGGCAGCUAACAAGAAUCCACAUGGAAUGGCAAUCCAUUGAGACCAGAGACCCCAGGGAGUGUUAAUGUGGCUGUCCUGUGAUGGGCCGCUCCCCGUGCAGACUGGAAGAUGUAAUAGGAUCACUUGGAAUAAUUUGAUUAUUGUAUGUUCACCAACUGGAAAGUCUAGUUCUAA
This is a long non-coding RNA of Mauremys reevesii (Reeves's turtle), 740 nucleotides long. RefSeq lists it as uncharacterized. The record is from RefSeq and is a predicted model, not a curated record. The transcript has 5 exons. Lineage: Eukaryota; Metazoa; Chordata; Testudines; Geoemydidae.